Equus asinus (donkey) is the source of this 954-nucleotide long non-coding RNA. The record is from Ensembl. Lineage: Eukaryota; Metazoa; Chordata; Mammalia; Perissodactyla; Equidae.
UUCCUCUCCUCCUCUGAAGCCCUUCCUCGGCCUCCCCCUACAUGUCCGUUCCCCUUGGGGUUUCAUCCUUGGCCCUCUUGACCUCUCUCCUUCUCCCCUCUCCCCCCACAUCCUGCCCAUCUCAUCCAGCCUGGGUCUUAACUGCUAUGAGAAGACAAUGACUCCGAUGUCCGGGGAGUUUGUCACAUCUUCACGUGGACGACAAAGCAGGAUAAGGCUCCAUUUCUGUCUGGAUUCUAGUCUGAGGCACGGAGAAGUCUCAUGCUUCAAAAAUGCAUGCGAAAAUGCAGCAAGCGUGCAUUUCACCCCCGGCGGAACCUCCUGAGUUACCGCGAGUGAUUGCACACGAGGAGGAGGUGCUGGGGAGAAGCGGCGUCGUCCUGUCACAGGCUGUGAACCAACGUGGCUCCCUGCCCUGCACCAGGCGCCCUGGGAACCACCCCCCCCAUCCUUCCAUCCUUCGCUCCUGCUCCACACCGCCCCCUGGUGCCGGCCGCCUCUCCUCCAGCUCCAUCCUCAGCAUCUCAGGCCACCCCUGAGAGCAGCAGCGGCCACAGGUGUCCCGAGGUCCUUGGAGACGGUUGUGCACACACGACUGGCUCAGGCACCCCCCUGUCCCUGUGUGUCUUUGAAUGUGUUUCAGGGCGUCUCUGAGCCCUUGGAACGGGUGUGUGUGAAAACUUAUGACUUCCAAAACGAUAUGUGUGAAUGUCACGGAUUUCAAAAGUUCUCAGAGGAAGUUCUAAACCUCCCCAAAAGUAAAGAACCUCUUAGAUCCUCGAGGGGGCUCUAGACGGCAGGGAGAUCUCACCUUAAGAAAGACACCCAUUUUCAAACAGCUGCAUCGGGUUAUAGCCUGUGUGUCACACAGCACUGCUGUCAGAUCGGCUGCGUUUGCUCCAGCCCUGGAACGGACCAGAGGACCUCGUGUGAAGGAGGCAUGGGAGCAGGGAG